AACGCUAGCUACAGGCUUAACACAUGCAAGUCGCGGGGUAACAUCUGGGAGAGCUUGCUCUUCCAGGAUGACGACCGGCGCACGGGUGAGUAACGCGUAUCCAACCUGGCCCAUACCACGGGAUAGCCCGUCGAAAGGCGGAUUAAUACCGUAUGCUGUCAUCAAGAUGCAUAUAUUGAUGACGAAAGGACUGGCGGUAUGGGAUGGGGAUGCGUCUGAUUAGCUUGUUGGCGGGGUAACGGCCCACCAAGGCGACGAUCAGUAGGGGUUCUGAGAGGAAGGUCCCCCACAUUGGAACUGAGACACGGUCCAAACUCCUACGGGAGGCAGCAGUGAGGAAUAUUGGUCAAUGGGCGCAAGCCUGAACCAGCCAAGUAGCGUGAGGGAAGACUGCCCUACGGGUUGUAAACCUCUUUUGUUUGGGAAUAAAGUGCGGGACGUGUCCCGCAUUGCAUGUACCAUUUGAAUAAGGACCGGCUAAUUCCGUGCCAGCAGCCGCGGUAAUACGGAAGGUCCGGGCGUUAUCCGGAUUUAUUGGGUUUAAAGGGAGCGCAGGCCGUGGGUUAAGCGUGUCGUGAAAUUCCGUCGCUCAACGGCGGACGUGCGGCGCGAACUGGUCCACUUGAGUACGCGGGACGUUGGCGGAAUUCGUGGUGUAGCGGUGAAAUGCUUAGAUAUCACGAAGAACUCCGAUUG
This 696-nucleotide ribosomal RNA is filed under the name uncultured bacterium. RNAcentral describes it as "bacterial SSU rRNA". It matches the Rfam family "Bacterial small subunit ribosomal RNA", at positions 32 to 715 of the family's 1533-position model. The record is from RNAcentral.